RNAcentral lists this long non-coding RNA (3196 nucleotides) under Triticum aestivum (bread wheat). RNAcentral describes it as "long non-coding RNA (TAES_LNC015866)". Lineage: Eukaryota; Viridiplantae; Streptophyta; Magnoliopsida; Poales; Poaceae. The record is from RNAcentral.
AUUCAUGUUGCAUAUAAAUAACCUACUUGCAUGCAUCAUGGAUUUUAUUUUCUGACUGGCAUUAUGAUCAUAGGAUAAUUCAGAGCAUGAUUAUCGUUUGUUAUUUUAUACCCGUGUUCAUAAUGUUUGCGAGUACAUUCAAAGUACUCACUGGCUUGUCCCUGGCUAUUGUCUUGGCCAGAUUUCUUGCAUGGAGAGGAGCGUUGCGAUGAUAGCUCUGAAAACUAAGCAACGGUGAUAGGAGCCUCGCGAAGAUAGGAGUUAACCUGGUUAGCUGUUCCUGUUGGGAAAUGGAGUCCCAUAGACACUGAUGAUCAACAAACCGCUUCCGCCAUCAACUACUAGAAACCACUUGUUGUACUCAUAGGCCAGAAUGGUCUUGUACUACAUAUUUUGUAUUUUGCUUGGAAUUUCUGUAUCAAGUUGGUGCCUCAUCAGCUAACAGUAAUCCUGGGGCUGGUGAGCACAAGGGCCAUUUUCUGGAAAUUAAUAUCCCGAAAAUCCGGUCCUGACAAUAGACGAGGCCCUGGCAGUAGCUCAGCAGAAGGUGGUGCUUGGCCUCCAGGCACCCCAUGCCCUCGCCCGUCGGCAGCUGGUUCUUCCUCACCUAUACCAAUACACAAGCAGUCAAGCACACAAGAAAACGAAUAGAAUACUUAGUUUUGUGGAUACUGCUACCCGUUGCUGAAAUGCUGCCUUAUUCUUACACAAGUGAACUUAUCAUAGAUCAUGAAGCAGGCGGAGCUGGAAUUUUGCUUUUUCGAUGGAACUAAUAGAACAAGCUAACAAUAUUAUAAACGUUUCUUCACGGCCACUGAUUACUUGCUCGUUGCACGGAGAUUUUAAUCAGUGUGACAACUAGUCACUAGAUACAAAACAAUUCAUAUAAACAGGGCAUACCAAGCAGCAUACCAAGUAGCAUACCAAGCAAAAAAACAAAUUUCAAACAAAAUUUGCUGCAAUCCUGAUGGUAGAAACAAGCUAGCUAGAUUAAACACCAACAGUUAACACAGCCUAGCUGUAAUAACUAACAAGGCCACUAUAAAUUAUUAACAUGCAUGAUCUGCAGUACUAGGAGACCGAGUCAAUGCACAUUACAGUAACUACAAAUGGGGUCUACUACAAGAGCACAAUUUAACAAGUGUUCUACUCCAAAUCAUCAUCACUUGUAAAUAGGAAUGAUCUUUUACAUGACACAAGCACGAAAAGUACAAACAAAAUCACCCAUGCACAUGAAACAAAGCAAGGUACUACUAUAGCAGCACAAGAGAGGGGGCUAGAAGAUAGGAGACGAACUUAGAUGAGAGGAGAUUGUAGUCGAUGCCGCACACGGCCACGGUCUUCGUCCCGCGGUAGAGGAGGUUGUAGCUGAGUUGGACCAUGUGCCGAGCGUCGUCGUGGCGGUGGAUGCCCUGGUUGUCGUCAUUGUCCACAGAGGAUUCCUACUGCUCCGAAUCAAACAAAGAAGUAAGAGUUAGUGUUGUUGAUCUAGUACAGAAAUUAAGCAAGCGAGUAUAGGAGACACACACACGUGCUACUGCUAGUAUCUACAGACAUCAAUCAAGUUGGCUGUGUGUGUGCGCUUGAGCUAGCUUAGUACGUACAGUCCAUGGUUGGGCUCCAAAACAAACAGAGCAUGCUAGUGUUAACAAAAUCAAGCCAGUAGAAUAGAAACAAACCAUACCAUGAUGAAGUUUAAAAUAGAAUAAACAAUGCAUAUACAUUUUCUAAUGGAAAACCACAAAAACAGUUGAUGAAAAUCUACAUCCGAAGUUCUAACAAUGCCAUGUCUACAACAAAACAAGACUAGGACGAUUGCUGUAAUUCUAAUGCAGCAAUAAAACAAACCUAACUACAUUGUUCAACAGCUUCGAAUAACAAAAAAUCUACCAUUUAUGAUUAAUUCAACAAAAAAACUAAAUAACAUAGGCCUUUUGGGACAAACAAAACUAAACAGCGAGCACAACAUGAUAUGGAUAUCUCAAAACAAAUUCUCCUCGGAAAAUACUUCGGAACACAUAUGGACAACAUACGAAACUGAUUUACAAUCUACAAUAAGAUAUACCAGUCUCAUCAAAUCAGGCUGCUAAAUCUCCCAACGCCACAUCAGUAACAGCCUCUAGAUCAUGAAUCAACGCAACACUACAUGAGUCGAGAGUUAAUCUAUCCGAGGAUAGGCAUGGAACCCAAUAGCAGUACACGCUACAACCGAUCAACCACAUGAAUCCCUAGGCAAAACACGCUACAACUCAUCAACCACAUGAAUCCCUACACAUCCCCUACUGUGAACUUUGUGACAUAUAGAGGCCACUGCCAGGGGACAUGAAAAGCAUAUAGUGUGAACUUUGUGCAUCUUAAUUUAGUAGCAGCAUAUAGUGUGGACUGUGUAGUCCAUAUCAUCUGCCACGUCUUCAGCUGAAAUGCAUAAACAGAGCUAGAGGAUGCAUUAGUUUAUUUUGUCAGUAAAUGUAUUAUGUGCUUUCAAGCUCAAAACAACAUCAUGGAACAUGUUUGACUCACCAGUUAUCUGGACUAUCACUCCAUUCACGCUACAGAGAUCGCUCGGACUGUCGAGUCUCCAUGAACUAGCUCACAGAGGGCUUCCACAAAGUCCUUGUAGAAUCCAACAAUACCUGCCAGCCACACAGAAACAUCAGAGCAACAUAAGCCCCUGAUUGAGCACUCGAACACAUUGAAAAACAGACAUGGCAUGUAGCAUGCCGGCGGUCACCUACCUGGAUUGCCAGGGACGACCAGCAGGAUCUUCUCCAUGGCUGGCCCCUUCCUUCACAAAACCAGAUUAUCAACUUCAUGAACCUGCAAAAAAACACACAAAGUAUGGCAUGCAGAUUUUAAUUCAACAUACAAGGCAUGUAAUCAAGUGGAUUCUAUUAUCUUGUAAAGCAACAUAUUAUUUUAUUAGUACAUGUCAGGAUGUAUACCAAAUGAUCACUCCGAUGAUACAACAUCCCACAUGGGUAAUUCAAAGAUGGAGGAAGCAAAAUGGAAGGGGAAAAACGAUCACCUUGGACUCCUCAAGCGUAAAUCAUCUACCAGCCCUGGCAUUCAUGUUGUACUUAAGAGUCUGGCAUUGCACAGUGGGGCGAAUAGAUCGAGAGUUUGACAUUUUUGGCAAGCCGUACAUGAAACAAGAAAAUGUAAGAUGAUGGUUCUGGAAAAAUAGUAAACUUGUAAC